UGCUACAAGAGCACGUUAAAAACACAAUUUCAUCAGAGUGGGUCUUUUCUAUUUUGGUUAGCAGGACUGUAGUCCAAAUGUCCAUUCGAGAUAAUUCCGAUUCAUUCAAAAUAUUUCAAAUUGUCAUGGGAGUUUAACAGCUGCGUGACGGUUUUAUGACUAAAACACUAUUUGUAAAUAUCUUGAUCUGCUUAAAGUCUACAAUUCAAUCGUAAGAGCUUUUGGUGUCCUUGAAACUAGGACUCUGAACCUGGGAAAAUUGACUAAUUAGAGCUUUUAUUUUUAAUAUCUUUUUCUUUUUAAAAUUCUACUUUGGCAUGAGCAUUUAUCUAAUAAAAAACUCAAAAUCAGUAUUUUUGAAGCUGUCAAUGUGAUCUGUCUCUCUGAUAGUAGAGCAAACAACAGUGGAGGUGAGAGAAAAUGGAGCUGUGCACAGCAACACAGUGUGUCAAGCGCCGGGCCGAGUCCCUGAAGGAGAGAUUAUCCACUGCCGUGUUUGUCAGAGGCAGGGAGGGGGUCUCAGCAUGGGGCCUGCCAUGCCUGGGCCUGCCCCUACUGCCAGCCAGGCCCUUCUCUUCCGCUCUGCACAGCAGGAACUCUUGUACUGAACCAGAGGCCAAUUUAUCCCUGCCAUACUCCUCCAGCAAAAUGAUUUCUUUCAGUGUUUUGUCGACUUUUGGUCCCAGGGUCCUAAUGAGGUGAAAUGGAUGCCAGUAAGACCAGCGUGUCGAGAGCCAGCUCCAUCCGGAAAGCGUAUCUGUUCACACGCAGAGGUGGAAAAACAACCUAAAAAUAGGUAUUUUUAUCUUUUAAAAACCGUUUUUCUGGUUUUGUGCAAGAUAUUAAUGUGAUAUUGAGUUAAUUAUUAUUUGUGAAAAAUUAAAAAACUGCAUUUGAUGUCAGCAUAAAUGUUUUCACCUGCUUCAUGAGAAGAAUAUGUAAAAUAACUCACAAAUGUUGAGACAUAAACUCCCUCUUAAAUGAGAUAAAUAUAUCUAGCAAGAAAACAUAAAAAUCUGUGCAGCACAUAAAAUGUCAAUCAAGCCUUUGACAUCAAUAGUUAUUCUAGAUUUAAAACUUACAUUUAGGAUCCUUUAGGAUAUUGUAUGUUUGAUCAGAUAAUUAAGACUUUUUCUAAAAUUGACCCAUUUUGUAAAAAUAACUACUAAUUCUGAGUUUUCUACAAAAAAAUAGUGACAUGCUGAUUUUAAGCCUGUCUUUUAUCACAUUUUUAAAACUUUUUAAAAACUAGAAAAUGAAACCAUAUAAAUUAACAUUUGCAUGACAGAUCCAAAAAAGCUCAAUAUUACCCCACGUUUUGUAUGUUCAGUACAGAUUGACCAAUUGUAAAGCACGGAGGUGGAUGUAUCAUUUCCAGGGGUACAAAGUGCUUACCAAGCUAGUUCAGUGUUGCACUAUUACCGCUUUAUAGUAGUAAAUAUAUAUUGAAGUACUUUAAGACAUAAAAUGUAAAAGCAGUCAGACAGUUUUCACAAAUUUCAGCCUUUGUGUGGCUUUGGCUUUAAGUGUUAUUUGAGGUUGGCUCAGAUUUGGCAUUUUAAACCUUGAAAACUGAGCUUUCUUUUCAACCAGUGGGAACUAUCGCUAUCAUCUGCAUUUCUCAGCCCAACAACUCCAUUGAAUAAACGACUCAUGUUGUCCAUUGUCCAAACAUAUCAAUACAAAAAAAAUCUCGCCUGCGCGAGCUGCAGGAGAUAAAGGAAGGUCUCAUUUUUGAGUGCUUGGAUUCAGUCAAACCAGAUCCGCAGAGCUGUUUAUGUUCAUGAAACUAAGGGCCCUGAGCCAGAUAAUUAUUCCAAAGGCUGAGAAGUCAGUGGAGUGGAAGAAUCGGUAAGUGAGAGAAACAGAGGAGGACCUGUGACCAUUUUGUUUGUGCUGAGAGCGUAAGAUUGCUCCCUUGUGUUUGGCGCUGUGAGGGCCUCGACGGGCCCUCAAUAGUCUCUGUUCCAGUCCUACCUUCAAUCCCAUCUGAUGGUGACUUUAUUUGUGCAUUCAUUUUGUUGUUCUCUCUCUUUGACCCACAUGAUUAACCUUGUCAGUGAUGGCUCAUUUUGCGUGUUUUAUUGACACAUAGGGAAUCAAUGAUGAAAUGCUGAAAGGUGACAUUUGGAAAAGUUGUUUUUUUUCCAGCAAACCAGAGUGACAAACUGCAGCAAAUGCUGCAUUCAUGCUCUUCUUUCUGAUUCUUCAAAACAUACUCUUGUAUUUGCAAAUCGUUUUACCCACGCAGUCCUGACACUGCGUGCAAGAGAGCAGCCAAUGGAGCCGUGGCGAGGACUUUUUCAUAACGCUUCACGUUGGGAGAUGGCAGAUCCAUUGUUCUCAAGGCCCACCAGCCUGUGGGCGAGAGUCCCCGCUGCGUCUCCGCUGCAGAAACGCACACCAGCCUCCCAGGCUAUAUUUUCCUCUCUUCUCUGUGACCAUUUCAGUUCCCUCUCUCUCCCGCUGCUCCGGGCCCCGCUCCCUCCACGUUCCCCCCUCGCCGGUGAGCCGGGCUGAGGGCGAAGCUGUCGCCACACAGCCAGGAAGCAUGCAGCUGCUACCAUAAUAGCCCUAAUUGCACAUUUCUUUUGUUGGGCUGAAAUCAACUGUUGUGCUACAACACUAUCGAAACCCCAAAACCUCCAAGUAAAGAUGGCGGGGGGAAAGUUAAAAAAAAAAAAAAA
Molecule: long non-coding RNA, 2687 nt
Organism: Oryzias melastigma (Indian medaka)
Lineage: Eukaryota; Metazoa; Chordata; Actinopteri; Beloniformes; Adrianichthyidae
Exons: 2
Source: RefSeq, a predicted model, not a curated record